This is an RNA transcript of Rhododendron vialii, 738 nucleotides long. RefSeq lists it as uncharacterized. NCBI's taxonomy places the organism in Eukaryota, Viridiplantae, Streptophyta, Magnoliopsida, Ericales, Ericaceae. The transcript has 5 exons. The record is from RefSeq and is a predicted model, not a curated record.
GAGUGUGUGUGUGUGUGUGUUUUGGUCGAGCUAAAUCAUAAGAGCAUGGUGUUCCUCCGCCUUCGAAGCUACUGUGCCGUCGUCGCCGUCGUUAGCCCUGGAGAGGGUAAGUCCAGUUACUGCGGCUCCGACAAAUAUUGUCGUCUAAAUCGUAAACGUCGCUCGCUAGAGAGGUAAAGUUGGUUCUAUGGUUCUUUGGUUGGUGAGGGGGGUCAGAAGCGGAGAAGAAGAAUUGAAGGAACGAAUUUGGAUUGUCAAAUCUUGAUUUGCUUCUCUUGGUUCCGUGAACGCAUAUUUCUAGGAUUAGGAUUUUGGUUGAAAGAAAAAACAGGGAAGAAAUGGGCCAAUAGUUGCCCAUCUACAGCUUCGUGGCUCCAGAUUGAGGGUUCAGAUAUUCUAAAGACAUCCAGCUUGCUCCCUUGAGGAACUGGAAAUCAAUCAUGAGUUGCCUCGACUAUUGCAAUGACGAUGAUAUGCAAUGGGCUUCUAACAAUGCACAGUUCACAGGAAAUAAUGCAUCAGAUAUUGAACUUGCAAGUAGAAGACUGUGGGGAAGUUGGAAAGCAAGUGACAAGGCAAUAAAGGGAAUUGCUCCAAUUGAGACCUCCUAACCAUCGAGAAGGAGCAUAUUCAAGACAUCCCCAACUACUGCAACGAUUUCAGAAAUAUUCAAAAUUUGCUCUCUUCAACGGGCAUAACAUACGUGCCUUGCAUGUUGCAAUUCACCUAGUCAGCCAA